UCAUCAUCCCUUUGAGCUUGUUGAUCUUCAUUGUAUUGGUGACCCUGUUCAUCUGGUUGCUGUUGAAAAAGCACCAGCAGAACAAAUCAGCAUCAUUAACCAUGACAGCGGCUGAAGAGGAAGUAACAUACGCUAAUGUUGGGCAAGUGAGGAAACCUUCAAGCCAGACAUCAUAUACUGAAAGUGAUGUGGACGUGAUAUAUAGCUCUGUGGUUGCCAUAAGGCAAAAAAGUGUACGAGGGGUUCAAGCAAUUGAUGAGAAUGUUACAUACAGCACAUUGGCUUAGCUUCAGCACAGCUUAAUGCACAUUGUCUUUGUUUGUCUGUUUGCCUUUUAAUCUAUUUGGCUCUUGUUGGAAGACUUUUUUAAAUGAGAGUGUCACAGUGUGUUGUCCUACGUUAUCAUUUGGUUGUGCAGUGACUUCUCUCUUGGUUUUAUACUUUGUCCAUACUUUCUUCUCUUCUGCUUUUCAAAGACGCAUUGCCUUGCUUGUUUGUCAAGUGUUAGACAGUGACAAUGACUAUGCAAAUCUUGUGUUUACUGUUGUGUUAUUUAUUAGGCCUACAGCUCGCAGUAAGUUAAGUUCAUGGACAUGGAAUGUAUCCAUUCAAGUUGACUCUUAUACAAUACAUAGAAUCUUCAUCUGUUAGUUGUGUUUUAAUUUCACAACAUUCAAGUCUGCUUCACAAACUUCUGUAUAGCCAAAUAAAGCAGAUACCAGGGCUGCUGUGUGAAGGUUCUUUUUUUUCUGUAAAGAGUGACAGGAAAGUGGGGAGAGGGGAUUACA
Morone saxatilis (striped sea-bass) is the source of this 788-nucleotide long non-coding RNA. RefSeq lists it as uncharacterized. The record is from RefSeq and is a predicted model, not a curated record. NCBI's taxonomy places the organism in Eukaryota, Metazoa, Chordata, Actinopteri, Moronidae. The transcript is spliced from 5 exons.